Molecule: small RNA, 125 nt
Filed under: Marmota monax (woodchuck)
Lineage: Eukaryota; Metazoa; Chordata; Mammalia; Rodentia; Sciuridae
Source: RNAcentral
GCUGGGCAUGGUGGUGCAUACCUGUAAUCCCAGCUGCUGGGGAGGCUGAGAUGGGAGGAUCAUGAGUUCAAAUGCAGUCUCAGUAAUGGCGAGGUGCUAAGCAACUCAGUGAGACCCUGUCUCUA